This 439-nucleotide long non-coding RNA is filed under the name Sorghum bicolor (sorghum). RNAcentral describes it as "long non-coding RNA (SBIC_LNC013460)". The record is from RNAcentral. Lineage: Eukaryota; Viridiplantae; Streptophyta; Magnoliopsida; Poales; Poaceae.
AGCUGUAGGAAAUUUUAAUUUACUAAUAAAAUGUCAAUUAAGGGUGUCCAAUGGGUAGUAUGAGCUUGUUUGGUUCGAGCCUCAGACGAGGCCUCAUUUAGUUCUCUGGUGAAAAGGUUUUGGAUUUCGAGUGUAACCAAGGCUGGUUAGUGUUGCAUUAUUUAUACGUGCGCGUCGCCCAGGCAAUGAAAAUCAACGCCCCGCUUGAGCUGUGUGGCCUGGCAUAUAUUUUGAUUAGUUUAUUCAUUCACCGGCGGAAAAGAGCCAUUCCUUUUUUGAAGUCUGUCUAUUUUUUAAUUAGUCUAACAUAAAAAAUUCACACAAUUAAACCAUAUGAACUGUAGCUAUGAAAUAUUCUAAUUAAUUAUAGAAAAACACAGAUCUAAAGCUACAAUAAAAACCUUGUACUAAAGCAUACCAUAUUAUAUGUUUCGUGUGU